Molecule: ribosomal RNA, 489 nt
Filed under: uncultured bacterium
Lineage: Bacteria
Description: bacterial SSU rRNA
Rfam family: Bacterial small subunit ribosomal RNA
Source: RNAcentral
GAUGAACGCUAGCUACAGGCUUAACACAUGCAAGUCGAGGGGCAGCAUGAACAUAGCUUGCUAUGUUUGAUGGCGACCGGCGCACGGGUGCGUAACACGUAUCCAAUCUACCCAUGGCUCGGGGAUAGCCUUUCGAAAGAAAGAUUAAUACCCGAUGGUCUCGGUUUAAGGCAUCUUAGACUGAGUAAAGAUUUAUCGGCGAUGGAUGAGGAUGCGUCUGAUUAGGUAGAUGGCGGGGUAACGGCCCACCAUGCCUACGAUCAGUAGGGGUUCUGAGAGGAAGGUCCCCCACAUUGGAACUGAGACACGGUCCAAACUCCUACGGGAGGCAGCAGUGAGGAAUAUUGGUCAAUGGACGAGAGUCUGAACCAGCCAAGUAGCGUGCAGGAUGACGGCCCUCUGGGUUGUAAACUGCUUUUAGUGGGAAUAAAAAGAGGGACGUGUAGCGUUCUGCAUGUACCUUACGAAUAAGCAUCGGCUAAUUCCGUG